RNAcentral lists this small RNA (412 nucleotides) under Caenorhabditis elegans. RNAcentral describes it as "Unclassified non-coding RNA Y73B3A.33". The record is from RNAcentral. Lineage: Eukaryota; Metazoa; Nematoda; Chromadorea; Rhabditida; Rhabditidae.
ACUGGAAUCAAUUUGUCAGCCGAGCACAUUCUCAACACUCAAUAUUUUACCUACGUCGCCGGAGCACAAAUUGAUCAGAAUGGAAAUGUCAUUAUUGCAGACGCGAAGAAUCAUCAUUUCAAGGUAAAAAGGAUUGGAAAAAAGAAGGGAAAUUUGAAAAAAAAAAAUGGCCAAAAAAUAUUUUUAGAAAUUUUCAAAAAAAAAAAAAUUUUUUAAAUAAUUUUUUUUUUGGAAAUUUUCAAAAAAAAAUUUCUUAAAAAAAUAAUUUUUUUUUUUGAAACUGAAAUUUCUCUUGAAAAAAAAAAAGUCUUUUUACAGCUUUUCGAGCCGUCGUUGGGCUUCAUACACCGCGUUUCCACGGAUUUCCCUGUUCCAUACGUUUCCUCGUUUCAUUUCAAUCACCGCGGAGAGG